UUCCCACCAAAAUUUUGUUUUUGGGCGCCCAAGUCUAAUCUGAUUCUGAAAAAAAUGAAACCCUAAAGUCUCCAAGUCUAAGUCUGCUACUCUGCUUCUCGCUUCCUCCAUACUCCAGUCGAUUCCAACAAGCAAAUCCGACGAAGAGCGACGAACCUGCUGCCGACGAGGGCUCCGCCUCCCCUGUGAUAGUCGCCGAUGAGGGCUCUGUCUCCCCUACGAUAACCGCCCACUACCGCCGGUAAGUGUUUCUUAUUCUUAUUUUCUAUUUUUUUUAUUGUCUAUCUGCAGACGAAUCCGAUGGGGGAGAAUAAGCUGCCGCUGACGAAUCUGAUGGGAGAACAAGCAGCUGCCGACAAAUCUGCCUCCCCUGCGACGACGCCAGAGCCGCCACGCCACAGCUUCGUCGUUCGGAACAGCGCGUCGUCGAUCUCCACUGCCUACCCUUCCGAUCUGCUUCGUUGUUCCCUCCUCCGGCUCCCCUGCGACGCCACAACUACCAGCCACCGUCACCGCCUCCGCCCCCAGCCACUGCCGUCCGCGUACUGCAGUUGCAAGAAAUACUGAUGGCAUCACUGCAUUCCAUAUGGAUAUAAAGCAGGUCUUGAUAGGGAAGAUCAGUGUGAAAAGAACAAAGGCAUUUGUCAUUUUGAGGCUCAGACUAGUGAUCAGGAACUUCCCUUAAAAUGAAGAGAUGGAUUCUCCAUUAUUGAUUGUUGAACGGUUCUCCAUUAGGAAACAUGUUUAUUUGUAUAGUCUCAUCUUUCAAAAUAGCCAACAUGUUUAUUUGUAUAGUCUCAUCUUUCAAAAUAGCCAACAAAUACAUUACUAUGGCUAUUUGUUAUAAUCAGUUUUGUUGACUUUAGUCUUUACAAAUUUGUAUGAAACAUUUUAUUUUGGUAGUGAUGAUGAACUCUUUUAAUAUAUCGAUGAAGCUUACUUUGAUUGCAAAA
Molecule: long non-coding RNA, 953 nt
Organism: Ipomoea triloba (trilobed morning glory)
Lineage: Eukaryota; Viridiplantae; Streptophyta; Magnoliopsida; Solanales; Convolvulaceae
Exons: 3
Source: RefSeq, a predicted model, not a curated record